RNAcentral lists this ribosomal RNA (253 nucleotides) under uncultured bacterium. RNAcentral describes it as "partial 16S ribosomal RNA". It matches the Rfam family "Bacterial small subunit ribosomal RNA", at positions 524 to 776 of the family's 1533-position model. The record is from RNAcentral.
GACAGAGGUGCCGAGCGUUAGGCGGAAUCACUGGGCUUAAAGCGUGUGUAGGCGGAUCGUUAAGUACCUUGUGAAAUCCCAUGGCUCAACCAUGGAACUGCUUGGUAUACUGGCGGUCUUGAGCCAGCUAGGGGCUACCGGAACAAAUGGUGGAGCGGUGAAAUGCGUAGAUAUCAUUUGGAACGCCAAUGGUGAAAACAGGUAGCUGGGGCUGUGCUGACGCUGAGACACGAAAGCCAGGGGAGCGAGCGGG